This is a non-coding RNA of Acanthosepion pharaonis, 114 nucleotides long. The record is from the annotation of a GenBank genome assembly. Lineage: Eukaryota; Metazoa; Mollusca; Cephalopoda; Sepiida; Sepiidae.
UUACGGCCAUAUCACGUUGAAACACCGGUUUCCGUACAACCACAAAAGUUAAGCAACACCGAGUCUGGUCACUACCUAGAUGGGUAACCGCUUGGGAAUAUCAGAUGCUGUAAG